GAGGCAGCUGAUCGGUGUUUCUCUCUCAUCGAUGUUUCUAACUUUCUAUCUCUCUCCCUUCCUCUCUGUGAAAAAAAUCAAUAAAAUAUAUUUUUUUAAAAAAUUAAAAGAAACCUGUUUUGUUGGCUAUUCAAGAGCUUGGACGCAAAUGAAAGGCAGUAUGGGAAUGUGAAGAGAGGCUUGUAACAAAGAAUCUUAGCUGCAUUCUCUGUAACAGAAAUGUUCUCCACCAGCACAUUUUCUCCAGGAAAAGCACAUCAAAACUUACCAGACUAGGAGCGUGAGAUUUUCCAACAAUGCCUGUGUCAGCAAAAGUAUGUGAACUACUACUUAACACUGAUCACUAGCUAAGUCCCUGACAUUAUUCGGUCAACUACUAUAGCACUGAAUAACUGGCAAUGAAAAUCACAAAACAACCCAAAUUACUAUCUAAUCCAUUUGCAAAGGGGCAUGCAGUCUGUCUAUCCCUGAAAUUCUUUACAGGCCACAUGUCCACCCGGUGCCUGUACCAAACAGUGAAAUGACAGAAUUCUUAACAAGAAGGAUGUGGAUGAGAUACUAUGUAUCCAAAAUAAAAUGGCUUACCCUAUUCUUAGUGUAACGGGCUCUGCCUGACGCAAUGCCAAGUCUCUGAAAAUAAGCUUCAAAAUCGCUUCCAGAUCCCAGCUUGUUGAUUCUAGAUGUAGAAUAUAAAUACAUACACAUACAGAGAGAGAAUGCAUAAAUAAUAUGAAGUUAAAUAGAUGGGGCAGUGAAUCCCAUCCCAAAAAUAGAAGGAAUUUAAUGGCACAUUUAUAGGAUUUAGGAAAAGGUAUAUCACCCGAAGACACUUUGGUACUAUCUGCUGGAUAUUGGUGUGAUAAACAUAAAGCCCACAACCAGGGCUUAGCAAUGCCACCAAAGACGGCAGUCUAGUGACUGCUGUCUUCCAUAUUUUCUGCAUUUAUGGUAUUUGUUUAGAGGGGAAAACAAGAUAUGGUUCCUGCCCUCAGAAUUAUGGACUAAUCAGAAAAUGGCAAUGAGGAAGUCUAAUUACAGUAUAUUUCUUUGUAUAUAAUUAAGAAACCACUCUGCAUAUACAUAUGUAUUACAUGUAAUAAUGUAAUCACAUGGAAAACUAGUCAUAAUAGAACAGGAUAUAAAAUUACAUAUGCAUGAAGAACCUAACUAUAUACUCCUAAAUCUAAACUUUUUUUUCUAUUUAAGUAUGUGAAACAUUUAUAAUGGAAACACAUUUAAACUUUCACAGAUGUAUUUGGAAUAUGGAAUGAAGCCAUAAACCACAUCAUCUGCUGCUUUUAGAAAUAGCAUUGAAGUAGAAAAUAUAAAAUGAAUUCAGGAAAACUGCUGUAUGACUGAGAUGAACUAAGAAAUACAUUAAUACUUAAAGUCUAAGUUGGUUAACAGGUCUGACUAACAAUUUGGUAGUUACUGAUAAUGCCCAUUAAUAAAUUUAGAAACUAAUAAUCCAUCAUUUGUUUUUUAACUUCAUCUUUAUCAUUUGAAGUUACAUUGUUAAGUAUUCAAUACAUGUCUAAAUGAAAUUUUGUAUAAGAAUGCAAAAUAAUGCUUAAUAAUGGAGCAAACUAAUCUUGACUAAAAUCUUGUGAAACUAGAUUGCUGCUCUACUGUGGGUUAAAAGAUUUGGCUGUUCCGGCUGAUCAGCACAUCAAAGGCUGCACAGAGGAAUCCUGUAGGAUUGUCUUGACUCAGAUUGUUGAGGAAGGAUCCUUUUCCAACCAGCUUUCAUAAAGAGAUUUACCCUGAAAACCAUCAUCGGGGCUGGAGAUCUGGAAAGAAAUACUGGGAAUUAGAAGCAGAAGCAACUAAAUUUAUGUCAACAUAAAACCACAUGUUAUCAUCAACUUCUAACUAUAUGUAUGCUGAUGUAGAAAAAUAUGCUUUUGGAAAUAGGAAAAAUAUUCAGCCCAAAUUCUUGUUUAUAAUGCCUGCCUAUUGGUAAUUUUGCCUAAUAACUAGAAUAAAGUUUCCUGCUUAUUUUAGUAAAUUUUUACAUAGAGGUUCGUAUUUUUAAUAAAUGUCAUUUGGCAAUUUAAAUUCCUUUUAGUAGGAAGUACUGGGGGAGGGAAUUGAUAUAAUAUUUACUUUAGGGUAAAUUGUUUUUGGGAAGAAUUGCAAAGAGUCCUCGGGCAACAGAUCUAGGUUAUGAAGCUGAGCUUGAAACUCACUAUAAACCUUAGUUUUGUCACCAACCCUGGUGGUGGGUGAAGAGGAAUGUUAUUUUAGAAAGUCUGAUUAUAUUUUAGUAAAGCUGGGAUUUGAUAUGUCUACAUAACCUCAGAUUUCUAUUUGGGAAUAUUAACAGCCUCUUGUGUAUACAUAAACAUUUUUAUUACCCUCAUUAAAAGAAUACUUACAAACUUAUACUUUGCUUUUCUUUGCUCUCAGAAAAAGCAGGGGCAUGUGUUGGAAAAAUGUGUUUGUGGAGUUAACAUUUAACCAUCUCUAUUUUAGAUCCAUAUUAUCUAUCACACGUUUUGGUUGAAGUUUGUUCAUUUAUAACUGCUUUGUUCAAAAAUGGACCCAAGGCAGACCCUACUUAUCAGCUAAGAUACCUUUGGUGUCUUGCUUUAAACCCUAAUGUUCUUACCUGUGGAAAUGGGGAGAAUGGUGCCCAUCUCAACUUAAUCAUCUCUGCCGUCUUCUCUGGCCUUUAUACAGAGUUGGUUAUUCCCUCAUCACCACAUAGGAGGCCUUCAGCAUACAGUUGAGUUACUGCACAGAGGCAUCCCUUCCCUGCUAGCGUGCUACAGGGAAGUUCUGCUCAUUUCCAGAAAACUGCCUGGGAUCUACUCAGCUCUUGCCAAUUUGCAAUAGCUGAGGUCCUGCUCCAGUUCCUACAAUCUGCUUGGGUCAAUUUCCCUGCAAAAUUCUCUAUUGUCUGGAAUCAAGUCAUCUCUGUCUCACACUAACCAGAACCCUGUUCGUUGGGCAGCCUGGAUCAGAUUUUUCUCUCUCGGCUAUAUGCACUGUCAUAGUUGCUGACCCUCCUCCAUUGCAUGGACACAUUGUCCCAUUUCUUCUAUCAGACGGAGGCUCUUAAGCUCAGCCCUCCCAGCCCGGCCAGUGUAGCUCAGUGGUUAAGCAUCAACCUAUGAACCAGGAGAUCAUGGUUCUGUUCCUGGUCAAGGCCCAGGUUGUGGGCUCGAUCCCCAAUAAGGGGCAUGCAGGAACAUGUUCUCCCCCUCCCUCUCCAAAAUCAAAAAAUAUAUAUAUUUUAAAAUGGGUUGGGGGGAAGCUCAGCCUCCCCACCACCUUACCUUAUAACACACAUUAGAGGUUGAUAAGCUUGUAAUCUUCUGCUUACAGGAGAAUAAAAGAGUCCUUUUUCAACUGAGUUUUGGUAGAUUUGUCAUGCUCCAUUUCUCACCAUCUUCCCACAACGUACUUUGUGCUUAGGUCAUACUGAGCUACCUCCGGGUCAGGAAGUAUGUUCUUUCAUCCACAUCUUUUGAGAGAUCUGUGUCCUCUGCUUACGCCUUCUCCCUCACCUUCACAUCCUUCUGUUCUACAGCCUAAGCAUUAAUUAUUCUGUAAACAUCCCCUGAUGCUUCCCAACUUCCCCAGCUACCCUGGGACUUUAGGUUCUCUUCUGUAACUGUUCUUCAUUGUAUAGAGUAUCCAAUAUUCCAGGGAACUGUAAUUCCUCAUUUAUGGGUCUGUAUCUUCUCUAGAUUACAAAGUAUUUGGAUUCAGUGACCUUGUCAUUUUAUUGUUGCUGCUAUAAUUUAUUUUAUGGGACCUGGUAACUAGUAACCACUCAAUAAAUAUUUGUUGAAUGAAUGAGCAGUCAAGGCAAUCUCUGAACCAAGGCUUUUCCAUUCCAGCUCAGCGGACACAAUACAAACUUAUUAGAACAGAGACGCUAGCAAUGCUGUCAUAAUUGUAAUGUCACAUAGUGUAUUAAAGAUCUUUGUUCUGACUUAUUUACACAAAUCAGCUAUGUCUGUCACCAGUUUAAAAAUAAGUAUAGCUAGUUAAAAAAAACUUAUUCGCUGUCAUCAGAAAACAUAAGACAGAUGUACUUGUAUACCUCCUUUGUCAGUUUAUACACCAAUUGGUAAAGAAGGGGUGUACAGUCAACUCUGAGAGUAUAAUUGCCUGAAAAAUAAAGCAGAAUAUUUUAAUACUUUCCAAUGAAAUUCCAAUUUAUAUUUAAUUUUAACUUUAUUUUCUAAUUAUAACUAUAUAACAAAUUUCAGUGGGAUCACUCCCUGGGAAUUCAAAAUAGGGUGGAGCCCUGGCCAGAUGGUUGAUUAGAGCAUUGUCCUGAUAUGCCAAGGUUGUGGGUUCAAUCCCCAGGCAGGGCACAAAAAUCAACCAAUGAAUUAAUAAAUAAGUGGAACAACAAAUUGAUCUCUCUCUCAUGCUCCCCUUCUUUCUAAAAACCAAUAAAAAAAAUUUAGGCUGGAAAUAGUUCUUCAGGAGCAAGAGAGACUGCAGUGCACUCUUCACAGAAGGUGUAAGUGGACUUUGGUGGCUAGGACAGCAGCUCCCAUGUCAUAAGGGUCAUUAAUGCAGUGUCUCUUAGAGGGUGUUUAGUGGGAAAAAUAUAUAUAUAAUGGUAAGGCUACAGCAUUCAUUCAAUUAGUAUAUAGCAAGACAUUAGACAACAGCAUGUCUAGAGAGAGUGGAAGAGAGGGAUAGAGACAGAGAAACUCGAUGUGAGAAGGGCACAUUGAUUGGGUUGCCUCCCACAUGCACCCCGACCAGAGCUGGGGUAGAACCUGUACCAAUGUACAUGCCCUUGACCAGAGUCAAACCCUCGGCCUUUCAGUCUGUGGGCCAACGCUCUAGCCACUGAGCCAAACCAGCUAGGACCAGAAAGUAUUUCUGUGUGAAAUAUUCUGUAGACCACCUCUUCUGAAAUAUUUUAGCCAAAUUCUUUUAAUACCUCUAUAGGAAGGACGUAGUUAAUACUGGAGUUUUAAACAGGAAUCCAAAUGGUAAAUAUUCUAAAGAAAUUAGGCUUGAUAGCUUAGUUAUACAUUAAAUGUACCUUCAAUCGAUGAAUCUGAGUUGACAUAAGCGAUGCUUCUCUCCUGGAGUGUUUUUGCAUUCUCCUAAAAUUGAAGCAAAGUUGUUAAUUCAUAGUAUUACAAUUGUGGGAAUGGAGACAAAAUAAACGAGUAUAAAAGUAAUCUGCAAGUACAUUAUGAAUCAAAUACCUAUGCCUUCAACCAUAAUUUCUAAAAAAUGCUGAUAGCUGAUAACUGGUUGGUUGACAACAACAUAAAUGAAAUUAAAACAAGUAAGAAAAAGAUUAUGCUGCUGUAGAUAUUUAUUUACAACAAUAGAGGCAGCCCCAGAGAAAAAGUACUUUCAAAGUGUGGUUCUUUGAUUCCCUAAACCAGACAGAACAUGAAGGGGCGAGGCUCCCAGAUUCUGGGCCCCACCCCAGACCUAAGAAUUGCUGAAAGCAAGGCCUGGAAAUCUGUAUUUUCCAAAAGGUGCCCUGGCAAUCCUUACAUGCACUGAAGUUUGAGAUCCACUAAUAAUGAAUACCCACAUAAAUAUAUCAUUUUAAGUGAAAAAUAAGGAAGUACAAAAAAAUUGAAAAAUAGAAAAUUUCAUUGAUUUUUAAAGAUAAUUAGAAAAUAUGAACAAAAAAAAAGAGAAAGAGGAAGGCAGAACAAAACUAGAGGGAGAAAAGGAAGGACCUUUAGGACAAACACAAGACUGUUUCUGACUUUCUCCCUCUCCACAACCCCCCAAGAAAGAUUAUGUAGAGAAGAUGAAUGUCACACACACGGGAAUAUGCGAGAGCACCCUUUACUUCUCUCUCACUGCCUUACUUAUAAGAACUUACUGUAAUAAAAACAUUUAAAGCUGUGAGAGGUUAGGGCCCAGUGAGGACUGCCACUCUCUGCACUGCCCACACAGGCCACACGAUAGUUACCUCUGCUGUGGGCAAGUAUAGGGUUGGAGUUUCCAUUAUAACAGUUACAUUAGAAAUAAGGAAGAUUUUUUAAUUAAUUAAAUAAAGUAUGC
Myotis myotis is the source of this 6012-nucleotide long non-coding RNA. RefSeq lists it as uncharacterized. The transcript has 2 exons. NCBI's taxonomy places the organism in Eukaryota, Metazoa, Chordata, Mammalia, Chiroptera, Vespertilionidae. The record is from RefSeq and is a predicted model, not a curated record.